RNAcentral lists this unclassified non-coding RNA (341 nucleotides) under soil metagenome. Its description in RNAcentral is "partial contains 5.8S ribosomal RNA, internal transcribed spacer 2, and large subunit ribosomal RNA". The stretch from base 1 to 120 matches the Rfam family "5.8S ribosomal RNA", at positions 35 to 154 of the family's 154-position model. The record is from RNAcentral.
GAUGAAGAACGCAGCGAAAUGCGAUAAGUAAUGUGAAUUGCAGAAUUCAGUGAAUCAUCGAAUCUUUGAACGCACAUUGCGCCCGCUAGUAUUCUGGCGGGCAUGCCUGUCCGAGCGUCAUUUCAACCCUCAAGCCCCCGGGCUUGGUGUUGGGGAUCGGCGAGCCUCCGCGCCCGCCGUCCCCUAAAUCUAGUGGCGGUCUCGCUGUAGCUUCCUCUGCGUAGUAGCACACCUCGCACUGGGAAACAGCGCGGCCACGCCGUUAAACCCCCAACUUCUGAACGUUUGACCUCGGAUCAGGUAGGAAUACCCGCUGAACUUAAGCAUAUCAAUAAGCGGAA